RNAcentral lists this ribosomal RNA (67 nucleotides) under Chloroflexota bacterium. Its description in RNAcentral is "Chloroflexi bacterium (groundwater metagenome) partial 23S ribosomal RNA". The record is from RNAcentral. Lineage: Bacteria; Bacillati; Chloroflexota.
GGAUAGGCUGCGUGUGUAAGGCUGGUAACAGCUUCAGCUAAGCAGUACUAAUGGCCGAGGGCUUGAU